RNAcentral lists this long non-coding RNA (3774 nucleotides) under Aquilegia coerulea. RNAcentral describes it as "long non-coding RNA (ACOE_LNC000170)". Lineage: Eukaryota; Viridiplantae; Streptophyta; Magnoliopsida; Ranunculales; Ranunculaceae. The record is from RNAcentral.
UUGCACUCCUCCCAAGUUCUGUAGAUACCCGGACAGAACCCACGACGCACAACAUAAUAGGAAUAUUUACCCAUUCUCUGAAAAGUGGUAAUUAGAUGUUUUCAACAUAAUGAGUUUAUAUAUAUCAGCUUUCAAUUUAUUUUCAGCUUUCAAUUUAUUUAACUAUAUUUUCAGAUUUCAAUUUAACUAUUCUUUCAGAUUUCAAUUUUUAUUUAACUUUAGAUUUUGUUAACAUUAUGAGUUACCAUUACAUCAACUUAUUUCUUAUAAUAUAGUUCUCACAACUAAUCAAGUUACUAGUCUGUACUAUGUGUGUAAUUAAGAAAUAACUAAUACAAUCAUUAGUCUGUAUAUGCGUAGGAAUUAAUAUAAAGUCCUACGAUGUGUGUACAAACUAAUCAGGAUACUAGUAUGUACUAUUAUUUGUGUAAACAAUUAACAAUCUAUAGAUGACAAAAACAAUCUAUAUUAAAAAAAAUUCUUAAAGAAUUAUUAUAUGUUGAAACUUGAAAGCAUGAUUAUAUAAUAAAAACAAUCUAAACUCAAUUCAUAUACAUCACUUAAUUAUUAAAACAUGUCGGUAGAUACCUACUGCAUAUACAGAUACCUACUGCUGACAAAAACAUGUUUUCUAAUCUGCACUAAUACAUGGUAAAAGAAAUAACCAACCUUGAAAAGCAAAUGACGAGAGAAAGUAAAGACGAGUGAAGGGGAGAAAGCGAUGGACAAGAGAAAGCGAAGCUGCCAAAAAACAUUCAUAUAUCACUACUGCAUACAAUUUUUAGAACAAAUAAAAUAAUAAAAAAAAAACUCAAAUCAAAAUCAUACAUUUUUGAGCUGAUGUUUAAACGAUACUGGUCUGCAAAAGAUACUGGUCUGCAAAAGAAAAAUCCGUGCGACAAAAACACACAUAAACAUUCAUCAGAUAUUAUCAACAUAGAAUCUAGACAUUACAUACAAAUAUAGACAAACAAAAGAAUUUUUAGAAAGGUGCAAAAAUGUAGGAGGAUAUACCAGUAAGAAUCAUGAACAAUGUGAUACAGUAUAGGAACAACUACUACCAUGUUGCUACCAAACACUAUGUGCAAAUAUAACAAGAAAAAAAUCUGAGUACAAUUUAAACUUGCUCGGUUAUUCCAUUCUUUGCUGAAUAAGAAAUUAAGCAGGUAGAGAUAUACAUACAGUAACACUAUUAUAUUGGUCAUUGGUGUACGUAAGUGUAGUUGUAUCAAAAUCAAACCAUCAUUCUAGUAUAUAUUAUAGUAGCAGUAGCAGUAGCAGUAGUGGAUUAAAAUAUCUGACGAUUUAUCUAUCUAUCGCAGUACACGGGACAUUUCUGGGCAGUAAUGAACAUUUGUAUUACAUAUGAUGAAAAAAGAUGUUCUCUUGGAUUUUUAUAGUCUCCCUCAUUUGUGCUAAUGAGUCUGGCUGAUUUGUCUGUCAAUCAAUUCACACUGUAAUUUUUUUUCAGUACGUGCUCCUAAAGGUAAGUUGUUUUUUCGCACUUUUGAAUCACAUGUUGAUGUUCUUGUGGAGAGCAACAAUGCACCAAGCUGUCAGUGGUCUAGUAACUGUGCUCGUAAAUUAUUUAAAAGAUUUGUAUAGCCUUCCAAGGUGCUUUUUGCUACCAAUUUAGCUACACACCCCCUCAUUGCCAAUUCCUUUUUCAGUAUAAUUUCAAAUUUAACAUACACCAAUACAUAUAGCUGGAUUGCUACUGUUGAUGAUAAAUUUAGUAGCAAGACCAUCAAUAAUUCUAGUACUUAUUACUAACUACCUUUCACACCAAAACCUAGUUAUCUGCCUAAUCUGAUAAUUUAGGAACUUUAGUUGCAUUACCUCUCAUCAUCUGCAGAAUCCAAAUACAGUAAAUGUUAGGGUCCUGAUCCUGCAAAAAAAUGAAUGAAAUUUCUAAGUUAACAUCAUCAGAACAAAGAGCAUGUCUUGUAAAAGUGUUUAACCUGCCUUAUUGAAAGUAAUUCAAUCACUUCAAUUAUUGCAAAGACGCAAGCAAAUAUCUACCUGACUAACAUUAAUAUAUGUAUAUAUACUCUCAAGAGUCGAGAGUCAAGACUACUACUACAAUGCACACUACACAUUAACACACUCAAUGAUUCAACAACCAAUUACUCUUCCCUCCAACCAGUCAGUUCUAGAUUUCUAGCUCCCAUGUAUGUCAGUUUCUCCCUCAACAUCCCCGCUAUCCAGUAAAAAAUAAUAUGAUGAAUGAGCACAAUAAGACAGCACAACUACAUCAAAAAGAGCACGUGAAAACCACCAAUAUGAUAAACAGGAAAGACAACUUCCACAAUUUGGCCUAAUUUGAGUGUACUUAAGCACAUCAACGUUCAUAGCACUGUGGAAGAUGAUCACAACCAUUAAAAUAAUCUUCUGUUUAAAAUUCAAGGAUGGUUUCAAAUAAGACCAACCACAACUAAUCAAUGUCAGCAAGAUAGCAAAAGGAACUUCACUAAACAAAACUCCCCCGUAAGCUAAAGUGGUAACGAAAAAGCCUUGUGAGUAGCCAAAGUGUUUGAUGAAAAUAUUCCGAACUAGCCCAGUUAAAUGACUCAACACUUUGAUGAUCAAAACUACAAGUAUAGCAAUGUGAAUGCGCAAAAGUUGAUUCCCUUUCAGUUUGAUAUAAUAAACAUGAAUAUUCCAAAGCGAAAAGAAAAUCAAACACAUAUAAAUCAUUAAACACAAAGUGAAUCCUAGGAAGUAAAACCUUGGUCCCGGAUAAAUAAUUCCUCUUAUCAAAUUCAAGAUCAUACAUAGAGCUUUUUACAACCAUGGAAAACCGAAACUCCUUGUUAGAAAGAUAAUUAAUGAAAUAAAGACUGUAGAGUUCUUGUUGUUGUUUUUCUUCUUUAUCUUCAUUGGAGAAAACGAAAUCAAAGUUUUUGGUACCAUUGAUGAGUUUAUGAAAAGAGAAACCUGCUAUAGACUUUUCAAUAAUACUAUAAUCAUCAUAUCUAGUAAAGAGAAAGAAACCAACUGUAGAGAAAUUCAAGUUGAGAUUUGAAUUGGAAAGAUAGAUAUCAGAAACAUUAAUUUCUAUACGACCUCAUUUUCCUCCAUUAGUGAAUUGAAAAGAAUCAAUGAAUAAUAUACUUUAAACAGAAACAUUAUUGUUAAAUAUACUUUAAACAGAUAUCAAUUGAAAAGAAUCAAUGAAUAAUAGAUAUCAGAAACAUUAUUGUUAAAUAUAUUUGAAUUCAUAUCAUAUACACGAAUCUCUGCAAAUGUAAACGUGAAUUGCAUGCAAUUGGAGUGAUUUUAAACAGAAUCUAGGGUUAGGGUUAUAGUCGAUAAUGAUAUAUCAGAAAACCCCAAUCUAGGGUUAGGUUUUUCGAAAAAAAAUUCAAAAUUUUCGAUUCAAACAACAAGUAGAAAACAACAAGUAAAGAAAGAACAACAACAACAACCAAAUCAAACAAAGAAGAGAAGAAGAAGAUGAAGAAGAAGAAGAAGAAGAAGAAGAAGAAGAAAUCUGUUUGAAAAAUACUAACCUCAAAACUUCGAAAAAGUAUAAAGAAGAAGAAGAAGAUGAAUAAUAUGAAGAAGAUAAACAAGAAGAAGGAGAAAUAUACCUGUUUUAGGGUUCGAAAUCGGUGUCGCCAGGUUAAUCGCCUCUACUGCGCCGCCAUCACCUGUUCUAGGGUUUUUUCUUGUUUAAGCUUGGUUGUUUUUGGCAAAGAUGUAAUAUAUACUUGGCAAAUUGUAGAGGGUUAAGUGGCAAAGCAAAUUUUGCCUGGGGGGUACCCAAGCAAA